GGCCGUGUGGUCUAGUAGUAUGAUACUCGCUUUGGGCUUGCGAGUGGUCCAGGGUUCAAUUCCCUGCUCGGCCC
Molecule: transfer RNA, 74 nt
Filed under: Geotrichum candidum
Lineage: Eukaryota; Fungi; Ascomycota; Dipodascomycetes; Dipodascales; Dipodascaceae
Description: transfer RNA-Pro (TGG)
Rfam family: tRNA
About the family: Transfer RNA (tRNA) molecules are approximately 80 nucleotides in length. Their secondary structure includes four short double-helical elements and three loops (D, anti-codon, and T loops).
Source: RNAcentral